CUUCGGCGGUUUGGGAGUGGCCUGCGUCCGAUUAGCUAGUUGGUGAGGUAAUUGCUCACCAAGGCGACGAUCGGUAGCUGGUCUGAGAGGAUGAUCAGCCUGACUGGAACUGAGAACGGUCCAGACUCCUACGGGAGGCAGCAGUAGGAAUUUUCCACAAUGGGCGAAAGCCUGAUGGAGCAACGCCGCGUGCAGGAUGAAUGCCUUCGGGUUGUAAACUGCUUUUCUGUGUGAAGAAUAUGACGGUAACACAGGAAUAAGGGUCGGCUAACUACGUG
This 278-nucleotide ribosomal RNA is filed under the name uncultured bacterium. RNAcentral's name for it is "partial 16S ribosomal RNA". It matches the Rfam family "Bacterial small subunit ribosomal RNA", at positions 210 to 507 of the family's 1533-position model. The record is from RNAcentral.